UUUUAUGGAGAGUUUGAUCCUGGCUCAGGAUGAACGCUGGCGGCGUGCCUAAUACAUGCAAGUCGAGCGAACGGACGAGAAGCUUGCUUCUCUGAUGUUAGCGGCGGACGGGUGAGUAACACGUGGAUAACCUACCUAUAAGACUGGGAUAACUUCGGGAAACCGGAGCUAAUACCGGAUAAUAUUUUGAACCGCAUGGUUCAAAAGUGAAAGACGGUCUUGCUGUCACUUAUAGAUGGAUCCGCGCUGCAUUAGCUAGUUGGUAAGGUAACGGCUUACCAAGGCAACGAUGCAUAGCCGACCUGAGAGGGUGAUCGGCCACACUGGAACUGAGACACGGUCCAGACUCCUACGGGAGGCAGCAGUAGGGAAUCUUCCGCAAUGGGCGAAAGCCUGACGGAGCAACGCCGCGUGAGUGAUGAAGGUCUUCGGAUCGUAAAACUCUGUUAUUAGGGAAGAACAUAUGUGUAAGUAACUGUGCACAUCUUGACGGUACCUAAUCAGAAAGCCACGGCUAACUACGUGCCAGCAGCCGCGGUAAUACGUAGGUGGCAAGCGUUAUCCGGAAUUAUUGGGCGUAAAGCGCGCGUAGGCGGUUUUUUAAGUCUGAUGUGAAAGCCCACGGCUCAACCGUGGAGGGUCAUUGGAAACUGGAAAACUUGAGUGCAGAAGAGGAAAGUGGAAUUCCAUGUGUAGCGGUGAAAUGCGCAGAGAUAUGGAGGAACACCAGUGGCGAAGGCGACUUUCUGGUCUGUAACUGACGCUGAUGUGCGAAAGCGUGGGGAUCAAACAGGAUUAGAUACCCUGGUAGUCCACGCCGUAAACGAUGAGUGCUAAGUGUUA
This is a ribosomal RNA of 843 nucleotides. It matches the Rfam family "Bacterial small subunit ribosomal RNA", at positions 1 to 825 of the family's 1533-position model.